RNAcentral lists this ribosomal RNA (254 nucleotides) under uncultured bacterium. RNAcentral's name for it is "partial 16S ribosomal RNA". It matches the Rfam family "Bacterial small subunit ribosomal RNA", at positions 524 to 776 of the family's 1533-position model. The record is from RNAcentral.
UACGGGGGGAGCAAGCGUUGUUCGGAUUUACUGGGCGUAAAGGGCGCGUAGGCGGCCACUGCAAGUCGGUUGUGAAAUCUCCGGGCUUAACCCGGAAAGGUCAACCGAUACUGCAGGGCUAGAGUGCGGAAGGGGCAACUGGAAUUCUCGGUGUAGCGGUGAAAUGCGUAGAUAUCGAGAGGAACACCUGCGGCGAAGGCGGGUGGCUGGGCCGACACUGACGCUGAUGCGCGAAAGCUAGGGGAGCGAACGGG